Long non-coding RNA from Acyrthosiphon pisum (pea aphid), 2590 nucleotides. RefSeq lists it as uncharacterized. Lineage: Eukaryota; Metazoa; Arthropoda; Insecta; Hemiptera; Aphididae. The transcript is spliced from 5 exons. The record is from RefSeq and is a predicted model, not a curated record.
AUAGUAAAUACUAACUACUAAAGACAGUCGUGAAUUGUGAAUGAUAACAAACGUACUGAUAAGGAGCAAGACGACAGCCAUUUUUGCGUAUCACAAAGUUGCUGCCACACCUAUUUAUUUUGUCAUGAUGCUUCACACAGCCACGUAUUUGUUUUAAAAAAAAUUUAGAUUGUCUCGUCUAUGUUGGAAAAAGUUAAGUUAAUGUUUGUUUUCUUUUGUUUUCUCUUCCUGUGAGGAUCUGUCAUUUUACGGGUUUUCGCGUAGGGAACAAACGCAAACGGUUUGCCUUCUGUUUAGUUACUGAUACUACAUAAUAUAUUACAAAUUAUGAAGUUGUAUUUAGGUACUUACCUCCGCGAAAACGAGCUUAUAGCUCGAUAGUGAAUUUACCGGUCCAGGAAAUAAAGUUGCGGAUACAAAUAUUUCAUAAAUUUAUCAAAGACAAAUCAAGAUUGGUAACACUCAAACACGACGUUGAAUAUCAUAAUUUGGCUACUCAAGAAGAAGUUUACCGUUGAACCGAAGACACCGACGACUUUUUCAAGUACCUAAUAAUUUUUAGUUUUCACGAUGUACAUUACCAUGCAAACUUCCACCAAAAAUUGGUUUGAACGAGAUCUAAUGGUCAUUUUUUAAAAAUGUAGUUUUCCCUGCAAUCAAUAAGCUACAUGUCUCCUCAAAAACGAGAAUAUUGAAUUGCAUACCAGCAACAAGUGACGAUUCAGCAGAAAUAAUCAUAUUUAAGGAUGAUCGGAAUGAUGUUUGCCUGGAUAUUGAAUCGUGCUUUGUGGCAGCUCAUGGACUUGCAGUAUGAGGAAAACGAGAGAAGUGGCAAUUAUUUCCUCGCCGUCCAUUACUGACAAUCUACUGUAUUGACAUACAACAGUCAUACAAUAUUGAUGAUGCCUAUGAAGAUUUUACAGCAGUAUAUGAAGCUGUCUUCUUUAAACCACUACUGAUGCAUAAUAACUUUCAUUUAAAGGCAAAAACAUUGAGAGGAUAUCACCAAGAUAAUUGGGUACGACAUGGCUACCCAUACAUUUUGUAACACAAAGACAGGGUCUUUGACUAUGGUGGCCGUUGCUGGCAAUUUGAAGUACGUGAAAAUCCAAGCUGUAAGGUAAAAUCUAUAACAGCAUCAGUGAACAAUGAACUCCAUCCCUUCAAUGACUAUCUUAACAAUAAAUUAAAAGUGCCAUUGGAGGUGAAAUUAGUGGCUGUCUAGAGUUUCGGUGAACUGGCUGAACUAGAAAAUGCCUCUUGGCCAUGCUUGCCAUGGUAUGGUCUAAGAAUGUACAGAUGGCAGUUUGGACCAGAAAUUAUAACACACUAAUAGAGCUGGUCUAGCUGUAUUAAAUGAUAAUUGUAUGGUGCUUUAAAAGCACCUCUUAAGUCUUCUGUCGAUGUGUUAGAUUUAUCUACAAUAUCGCCUUAUUGGAAACCAUCAAUUGACAUAUUAGUUAAUCGAAAAAAUUUAAGAGUGUAUAAUAAAUAAUUAUUUAUGUCAUGAAACUAAGUAGGUGGUAUUAAAUGGUUAAAUAGUGUAGGGGUUUUUGACCGCAGCUAGUAAGUACUGAUGAAUGGCGUCUGGUAUCCAUACACCAUUCUUCAGUACUGCGAUCAAAAACCUCUGCACUAUUUAAACUUUCAAUACCAUCAAUACCGCCAACCUUAGUUUCAACUCCUAAAUCUUAUCAUGUAAUUAAUAUAUCAAAAUGGUUUGCAUCUGUUAAUUAUUGGGUUUUAUAUGCUGUUAACUAAUAUUCUAUUUUACAUUAUUUUAAACUCGUAAUACAUUUCCUACAAUGGUUAUCGGAAUAAAAAUAAUCCCCCUUAUGGAAGAAUAUAAAUCACAGAAUAAAUGAACAAAAAAUAAAAUAUUUUGAUAAAUUAAAAUUUUAAAUUAACAAAUAAAUAAUAUACUAAUAUUAAUAUUUGUUUAUAUACUCAAUUCAAUGACCAACACGCCUUUAAUAAACUUGAUUUAAUUUUUUUUUACUUAAGGUAAUUAAAUUAUAAUAUUAUUAAUGUUAUUACCACGGUUAACUACUCAGGUUGGAACACGCCGUAUAUUGACCCACAAUAAACAAUAACCCAGUUUUGUGUACAGCUCUAGCUGUAUGUUCCCUGCAUAUUAACUAUUAAUUAAGCUUUUCAUUGUUAUGCAGCCUGCAAGGAUACCAAAUCAAAUUAUAUUUUUUUUUAUCUAGUUAUUAAUAAUUAGUUUUAAAUUUGUACUGAUUGUAAGAAUCUAAUAUUGAUCUAUCAUUUGAUAAAGUUAUGAGCACUACCAAAUUUCAUACAUUUUGAUUGUUGUGCAGUUUGAAUAUUAUAAUAAUAGUAUUAUUAUACACAGCUGGAUCUUUCUUAUUGAUGUAUAUUUUAUAAGGGCCAUUUAAAAUAUGUACUUGUUUUUCUGGCCAACAUUCAAUUAGAGCAGUGUUUCUCAACCAGUGGUAUGCGGAAAGUAUGCUAAGAAAAUACACUACUAUAAACUACUACAGUACAUUUAAAAAACCCUAAACUUCUAUGAUAUUGAAAUUAUAUGUGAUACAUAUAUUCAAUUUUGGUAUUCAUAUAAUUGUUAGUU